UACGAGGGGGGCAAAUGUUGUUCGGAAUCACUGGGCGUAAAGGGAGCGUAGGCGGGUUUCUAAGUCAGGUGUUUAAUCCCGGGGCCCAACCCCGGACAGGCACUUGAAACUGGGAAUCUUGAAUAGUGGAGAGGUCAGUGGAAUUGGGGUGUAGCGGUGGAAUGCGUAGAGAUCCCCAAGAACACCAGUUGCGAAGGCGGCUGACUGGACACAUAUUGACGCUGAGGCUCGAAAGCAUGGGGAGCAAACAGG
This 252-nucleotide ribosomal RNA is filed under the name uncultured bacterium. RNAcentral describes it as "partial 16S ribosomal RNA". It matches the Rfam family "Bacterial small subunit ribosomal RNA", at positions 524 to 776 of the family's 1533-position model. The record is from RNAcentral.